Molecule: long non-coding RNA, 2086 nt
Organism: Rattus norvegicus (Norway rat)
Lineage: Eukaryota; Metazoa; Chordata; Mammalia; Rodentia; Muridae
Source: RefSeq, a predicted model, not a curated record
UGUCACGUGCUUUAGAAAUCCAGCCAGUCUGCUAAGACGAUGACGAGUGGGCAUAAUUGAGAUGCGAGAACGAGAAGCUUUGGUUCCGACAUGCCCUUUGAACGCACAGAACAUAUGCCAAGGUUUUACUAAAAGAAAUCAGAAGCCUCGCCUUGUGGAGGUGGCAUUUUUUUCUUAAUUCCCUUUGAAACAAUAGUCCUGCUGCUUGCUUGUGAAGCAGCCAGUAACGGGUGAUGUAAUAUGAACUGUCCCUGUUUUGAACACAGAAGACUCUGGGAUGCAGGUUUGCUGAAUUUGUCAAACAGAAGAUUGGACCUACUCUACAGUCCGCACGGGGUCUAGACGCUGCCCUGACACUGUCAACACUGCAUACACAGAUUUACACCGUUGGAAAACAUUUGCUCUGGUUCCAACAGUCAAGGUCUGGAGAUAGGAUCCAAAUUAGAGAGCAGAAAUGGAUCCCUCUGUCAAACAUGGGAAAAGACAGAACCACAAGUCAAAGAACUGCUUCUAAAGUGGAAUCGCUCUUGUAAAAAGAUGAAUAGGGAUGUGUUUAAACAUCCUAAUGCAUAAUCCUUCCAGGGAACUCUAAAACACAAUAUAGGACACACCUCAGAGUAGGCCCGAAGGACAGCUAAGGAGCUGGGGGCUCUGUCCACAAUCCUUGUAUCCACUCUUGGCUCAGAGAUGUUCGUGAGAACAUAAACCUGAAUUCAUGGUGAAAUAUUUAUUAUUUGGAUAUAUCUUCACUGGUAUUAAGGAGGCUGAGUGAAGUGAACAGAUAGCUUCAGUUAACAUGGCCAAUCUAUAGCAGUCUCAUUUCCUAAAAUCAAAAGAGACGAGCAAUUGAAACUAAAAGGACCGCACAUAACACAUCGUAGAGAAAAUACAACGUACAGAAAAGUCCUCAGUGACGCUCGGCUUCAGUCAGCUUCAGUCCUUCCCACAGUGAUCUGAUAGGGAGAGCAGAGGGUGAGUCCACCCACGCACACCGAGAAGACCAACGUCAGACUUACAAUGUGGGCCGAGCACAGAGAGAGCAAGGGAGAGCUACUGGGCUUUGUUCUUCAAACCAGAAAGUCUAGCACCACACGGUUCACUCUUCACUCACCCAUUUGUCCAUCUAUCCAUCCCCUCAGUGCCCACUAAAAGGCAGGAAGAUGAGUGUCACCCAAGGGAUAAGAGAAGAACCAUCUCCUCGUGCAAACGACUCCCAGGAGAGUAGGAAAAUUAGAGUAAACGCCACUAAGAUGUGUCAAGGUCAGGAGCAAAUGUUCUCCAUUCUCACUCAUUCAAGAAAACUGAAGUUGAAGGCAUAGGAGUAUGAGGUAACUAACAGAGGUCGCUAGAGGCUACGGAAGAAAGAAUAUGGUAGAAGGUGGAUAAUGGGUACCCACAUUGGGGCAUGGGGUAUAGUUGUGAUGUUAUAAAGCACGAGAAGAGAACCACAUUUUAUAACUGCACAAAAUAGAGAAGACUUUGAAAUACAAAGGAAGAGUCUAGAGUUUAUGCCACAUGCCCGUUUAAAACUAAUUAAAAGCUGGAGAGAUGGAUGAGCAAUUAAAAACACUUUGCUGCUCAGGCAUGAGGACUGGAGUUCAGACCCCAGGACCUACAUAACAAGCAAGGAUAAGUUCUGUGCACAGCGACAAACAAGAGGGCCUCGAUAGGAUUGCUGGCUCCUACCUUAGCUGAAACACACAAGUCCCAUGUUCAGCGAGAGACCCUGCUUCAGAGGAAUAAUGUGGGGAGUGAUGGGAAAGAUGUCUUACAUACCCCUCUGGUAUGUGCUGUCAUGGGCCUGCAUACCUGUACAGACAUGCACAUACAUGUUUUACACACAUACACCCACAAUCACAUGCAUGUGCACACACACACACACACACACACACACACACACAUGAAUACGGUGCAGCAGAGGCUUUAAAGACUUAGGUCAGAAAGAAUGGAGUGAGCACAUCAAGCAACAUUUCUGUGGCUCGGGCACAUUUAUUGAAUUUAGCACCUUUAUAUUUGUAUGUGUAUUUUUAUCAAAUUAAUUCCUUUUUUCACUGGCUUGACAGAAUAAAAGACAUUUAGUCUUCUU